This 90-nucleotide non-coding RNA is filed under the name Terrisporobacter glycolicus. RNAcentral's name for it is "Purine riboswitch". It matches the Rfam family "Purine riboswitch aptamer", at positions 7 to 97 of the family's 102-position model. From Rfam's summary of the family: Riboswitches are metabolite binding domains within certain messenger RNAs that serve as precision sensors for their corresponding targets. Allosteric rearrangement of mRNA structure is mediated by ligand binding, and this results in modulation of gene expression. Lineage: Bacteria; Bacillati; Bacillota; Clostridia; Peptostreptococcales; Peptostreptococcaceae. The record is from RNAcentral.
GUAGAAAUAUAUAUUUCGUAUAACCUCAAUAAUAUGGCUUGAGGGUGUCUACCAGAAACCAAUAAUUUCUGAUUACGAAGAAUGCUUACU